GCUUACCCCCGGGGCCUCAACCCUGCUGAAUGCCAGGACGAGAGUUUGUGUCAAAUACUGUUCUUGGCCUCUUGCCUAACUGGGUCGAGGGAGACUCAGGAGGAGUGAUGGUGGCUGACUUGCUCGGGGAGAGCAUCCCCAGGAGCCGUGUCCCCCGGGGGUCCGCCAGCGGCCCCGCCUACCUUUCCCUCUUCAUGGCAGCUGCUCCUUGUGAUUGAUCCCGCCAGGAGGACCCACCCCGCCACGGGCGCCGCCCCCGUGGAGCCAGGGUCAGGUGCUCUCCGCCCAGUGCCCCUUCUGCAGAAGGAAGAAAGUCUCCCUGUGCUCUAUUCUGAAGAAGAGGAGGUGCGGAGAGAAACUGACUUGUCUGAUGCUUAAAUCGCCAGCCUCAGCCUCCCGACCCAACCUACUAGGUGGGAGUGGCUGGGUCCGCCUCACUUGCUCACUGCUCUGGGAGGGACUGAUUGUCACAGAGGUCACAUAAGGGCACACACCCGCUCUGCGUACUCGCUCAGUCACUUGACCAUGGCAGUGCCCGUUGGCUUUGGGGCUGACUGAGGUCUUGUUUUUAUUAUGCCAUAUAUAAGAUAAAGUGAACUUAACAUCAC
Puma concolor (puma) is the source of this 608-nucleotide long non-coding RNA. RefSeq lists it as uncharacterized. The record is from RefSeq and is a predicted model, not a curated record. Lineage: Eukaryota; Metazoa; Chordata; Mammalia; Carnivora; Felidae.